This 274-nucleotide ribosomal RNA is filed under the name uncultured bacterium. Its description in RNAcentral is "partial 16S ribosomal RNA". It matches the Rfam family "Bacterial small subunit ribosomal RNA", at positions 523 to 796 of the family's 1533-position model. The record is from RNAcentral.
AUACGGAGGGGGCUAGCGUUGUUCGGAAUCACUGGGCGUAAAGGGUGCGUAGGCGGCAGAAUCAGUUUGGUGAACAAGCUCCGGGCUCAACCCGGAAAAGGCACUGAAUACUAUUUUGCUAGAGGAUCGGAGAGGAGACUGGAAUUCUUGGUGUAGCAGUGAAAUGCGUAGAUAUCAAGAGGAACACCAAUGGCGAAGGCAGGUCUCUGGACGGUUUCUGACGCUCAGGCACGAAAGCUAGGGGAGCAAACAGGAUUAGAUACCCCGGUAGUCC